Molecule: ribosomal RNA, 384 nt
Filed under: marine copepod environmental sample
Lineage: Eukaryota; Metazoa; Arthropoda; Copepoda
Description: SSU rRNA
Rfam family: Eukaryotic small subunit ribosomal RNA
Source: RNAcentral
AGCUCCAAUAGCGUAUAUUAAAGUUGUUGUGGUUAAAAAGCUCGUAGUUGGAUCUCGGCGGUCUGAGGGCGGUUCGCUUGAUUGAGUGCUACUGCUCUAUAGGCCGUGGUUUUGCCAGAGGUCUCGGGGUGCUCUUAACCGAGUGUCCUGCGAUGCUGGCAGGUUUACUUUGAAAAAAUUAGAGUGCUUAAAGCAAGCUUACUGCUUGAAUAGUUGCGCAUGGAAUAAUAGAAUAGGAAGUCGUUUCUAUUUUGUUGGUUUUCGGAAAUCGACUUAAUGAUUAAUAGGGAUAGUCGGGAGCAUUCGUAUUCAAACGACAGAGGUGAAAUUCUUGGACCGUUUGAAGACGAACUAAUGCGAAAGCAUUUGCCAAGAAUGUUUUCA